CGCGAAAGCAAGGGGAUCAAACAGACUUAGAUACUCUGGUAGUCCUUGCCCUAAACGAUGGGUACUAGGUGUUCGUCCUUUUUAAGGAUGAGUGCCGCAGCUAACGCAUUAAGUACCCCACCUGGGGAGUACGAUCGCAAGGUUGAAACUCAAAGGAAUUGACGGGGACCCGCACAAGCGGUGGAGGAUGUGGUUCAAUUCGACGCAACGCGAAGAACCUUACCUAGGCUUGACAUGGUAGUGACCAACUAUGGAAACAUAGUCUUCCGCAAGGACACUACCACAGGUGGUGCAUGGCUGUCGUCAGCCCGUGUCGUGAGAUGUUGGGUUAAGUCCCGCAACGAGCGCAACCCUUAUCCUUAGUUGUUUCCACGAAAGUGGUUACCCUCUAAGGAGACUGCUCCGGAUAACGGGGAGGAAGGUGGGGAUGAUGUCAAGUCCGCAUGCUCCUUACGUCUAGGGCUACACACGUCCUACAAUGGGGCCGACAAAGGGAUGCAAUAUCGCAAGAUGGAGCUAAUCCUAAAACGGCCUCUCAGUUCGGAUUGCAGUCUGCAACUCGACUGCAUGAAGUCGGAAUCGCUAGUAAUGGUGGAUCAGCAUGCCGCCGUGAAUACGUUCCCGGGUCUUGUACACACCGCCCGUCACGUCAUGGGAGCCGGUAAUACCUAAAGUCGUUUGCCUAACCGCAAGGAGGGCGGCGCCUAAGGUAGGAUUGGUGACUAGGACGAAGUCGUAACAAGGUAGCCG
This 750-nucleotide ribosomal RNA is filed under the name uncultured bacterium. RNAcentral's name for it is "bacterial SSU rRNA". It matches the Rfam family "Bacterial small subunit ribosomal RNA", at positions 752 to 1502 of the family's 1533-position model. The record is from RNAcentral.